RNAcentral lists this ribosomal RNA (494 nucleotides) under uncultured bacterium. Its description in RNAcentral is "partial 16S ribosomal RNA". It matches the Rfam family "Bacterial small subunit ribosomal RNA", at positions 28 to 507 of the family's 1533-position model. The record is from RNAcentral.
GACGAACGCUGGCGGCGUGCUUAACACAUGCAAGUCGAACGGUGAAGCGCCUUCCUUUUUGGUGGGUGUGGAGGAGUGGCGAACGGGUGAGUAACACGUGAGUAACCUGCUCCCUUCUUCUGGAUAACCGCAUGAAAGUGUUGCUAACACGGGAUAUUUUGGGCCUGUUGCAUGAUGGGUCUGGGACAGAUUUUGUUUCGGUUGGGGAUGGGCUCGCGGCCUAUCAGCUUGUUGGUGGGGUGAUGGCCUACCAAGGCGGUGACGGGUAGCCGGCCUGAGAGGGUGGACGGCCACAGUGGGACGGCGACACGGCCCAGACUCCGAGGGGAGGCAGCAGGGAGGAAUAUGGAACAGUGGGAGCAAGGCUGAUGCAGCGACGCGGCGGGGGUGAUGGAGUCCGUCGGGUAGUGAACUUCUUUCGGGAGUGAAGCAGGCCUGCCUCGUCUGUGGGUGGGUUGACGGUAGCUGGACAAGAAGCGACGGCUAACUACGUG